GUAAACCCUACCCUAACACUCCCUCUGACUCUCCUCUCUCUUUAUCUCUUCCGUCUUCUAUGUCGUCGCCUCUGGUGGCUCCACCGGCAACCACCACUGUCGCCGCCACGACCACCUCCUCCCUUACCGCCCUCUCUCUCUUCUCCUAUUCUCUUCAGCGAUCUUCAUCGGUCGUCUACUUCGUCUUCUCCACUCUUGUCAUCAAUUCCAAAACCCUAAACCUACCUUCGAUCUUCUCCAAUCCCUCCACAAGCCAUAUGUUCGAAUCCAGACCCUACACUCCCCUCAACUGUUUCAGAACCUUUGUCUACAAAGGACUACCGCUGGACUCAUCAGAACGACGAUCUCGAAUAGGCUGAUUGCAAUGAGAAAGAUCAGGCGGCGAGGCACAUUAAUGCGUUAGAAACAAAAUCGGAAGAUGGGCAGUUCAUCUUUGCCCUAAUUUUUCUCUCCAUUUUAUGUGGUGCAUUUAGUAGACUGGCUUUCCAUCAGCAGCUUCAGCAGCAGCUGCUGCUAGAUCAUCAUCAGACUUCACCUCCACUGAUCCUUUCGCUAGGUUGGACCAGUACUUCUAUUUUCAACUGCCACUGCAAUCAACGUGCUUGGGUGGGAUGGAAAAGUGAGGACAAUUCUUUCCAUUAGUAUGCCCAAUGCAGGCAGUGCUGGUUAGUGCAUUGAAUGAUCGAUUGUCGCUUGCAAACCCGACCGAUAAAUCCGAAACCAAAAAAGAAGGUUGAGAUAAAGGGUUGUCUUAUUGGGCUUUUCGAACCUCUUCUUAUUGGAUUUGCCACAAAGCAACAGAGUUUUGAGCAGAAACUAGACUUGUCAGAAAUAUUGUAUCAAAUAACAUCCGGGUUUUCCGUUCCCCUACUAGCAGGCAUGUUUGUUUUGUCACAUAUACUACUCCUUUGGAUAUUAAACACUUGUUGGAUUCUCUUAUCCUUUUCAUUUCUAUUGUUUGGCUUAUAAAGAUUAUUUGUAAAAAGCACUAUCAAUGUAGAUUAUUUCAUUAAGAAGCAUCCAGUAAACUAAAAGAAAAUUAAUAGAGGAAAGACAACUUAAAAGAGAAUUCAAAA
Molecule: long non-coding RNA, 1076 nt
Organism: Camellia sinensis
Lineage: Eukaryota; Viridiplantae; Streptophyta; Magnoliopsida; Ericales; Theaceae
Source: RefSeq, a predicted model, not a curated record